GAUGAAGAACGCAGCGAAAUGCGAUACGUAAUGUGAAUUGCAAAUUCAGUGAAUCAUCGAGUCUUUGAACGCACAUUGCGCCCCCUGGUAUUCCGGGGGGCAUGCCUGUCCGAGCGUCAUUGCUGCCCUCAAGCACGGCUUGUGUGUUGGGCCCCGUCCUCCGAUUCCGGGGGACGGGCCCGAAAGGCAGCGGCGGCACCGCGUCCGGUCCUCGAGCGUAUGGGGCUUUGUCACCCGCUCUGUAGGCCCGGCCGGCGCUUGCCGAUCAACCCAAAUUUUUAUCCAGGUUGACCUCGGAUCAGGUAGGGAUACCCGCUGAACUUAAGCAUAUCAAAAGCGGAGGA
This 344-nucleotide unclassified non-coding RNA is filed under the name soil metagenome. RNAcentral's name for it is "partial contains 5.8S ribosomal RNA, internal transcribed spacer 2, and large subunit ribosomal RNA". The stretch from base 1 to 119 matches the Rfam family "5.8S ribosomal RNA", at positions 35 to 154 of the family's 154-position model. The record is from RNAcentral.